GUUUCUUCCAUGUACAUUCGCUAUGAUGUAGAUAGCAACUCGGAUGGUUUCAGUAAAUUAUGAUUGUAGUCUCCCUUGCUUUGAUAAAUGUAUUAAUUCACUAAUAUAUUCUCCUUAACCUGCUAUACCAGUUAUUGCCCUGGAGCAUAACAUCAAUUAAUAAGUGUGCAGAAAUCCAGACAGUCCUGUCCUAAGCUUCAUAGCUUGGCUCUAAUAAUAUGCAUUUGGAAUUAAGUGGUCAGAGUUGGGAAAUGUCUCCACCCUCAACAGAAAGGUCAAACUCAUCACCAACCUGUUCUUUGAAUGGGGCUUAAGGAUUGUUUCACAGCAGGUGAAGGAAGAUCAGAAGUAAAGAAACUGGAAUUCACUAGCAACCAAGCAACAAUUACAGCCAUCUCAAAUCACACUUGUUCUCUGCUGAAACCCUUCACACCCAACCAUUCCUUGUUUCAGAAGCUAAAGAAGACCAGGCUUGACUAGUACCUGGAUGAGAGCAGAUGUAUGAACUCUAUUUGAAACCAUCAAGGAUCUCCAAGUGGAAAAAUCCAGCUUGAAACCUCUGAGAGAUGAUGCCAAUAAGGGCUGUCUACAGGACAGAUCGAAAGUGGCAACUGCGGCAGGCCCAGUUGCUACUUUUAUGCCUUGGCUCCUUGCAUAGACAACAUGGACUAAAUGGACUAAUGGUCUAAUGAAAAAAAUGAGAAUAUCCAAUAAAAUGUGAAGGAAAAAAAGGAAUCAAGGCCAUGAGGGUGAUUUUCCAGUUGCUUUCCCCUGAAGAAGGCCACACAAAUAUUGAUUGGCUGUAAUACGUUGAGUUAAUUUGCAUAAUAAAACUUCACUGCAUGUCAUGAAUUUUCACUCCCUUAUAUUGCUCUUUUGAAAACCUGGCAACACUAGCUGUAUGGCAUAGGCUUGGGCAACUACACCACUUAUGAUGCCCAAUCUCUGCCUCUGUAUCCUCCCAGCGGAAUGCACCAGGGGCCUUUACACAUUACACGGUUAAUAGCACUAUGUUUUCACUCUAAUUUGCAUUGUAACCAAUGGCUUCCCGGGAUUU
Molecule: long non-coding RNA, 1057 nt
Filed under: Anolis carolinensis (green anole)
Lineage: Eukaryota; Metazoa; Chordata; Lepidosauria; Squamata; Anolidae
Description: lncRNA (ENSACAG00000040960.1)
Source: RNAcentral